Molecule: long non-coding RNA, 390 nt
Filed under: Hordeum vulgare
Lineage: Eukaryota; Viridiplantae; Streptophyta; Magnoliopsida; Poales; Poaceae
Description: long non-coding RNA (HVUL_LNC020987)
Source: RNAcentral
AACAAGUAAGGUCAUAAAUUUCGCAUAAAUUCCCAGCAUAGCAUCACAAAAUAUUAAUGUGAUGCCACAAGAGUUUCCCUUUUUGAGAUAAGCGAUGUCACACAUAAUAAGCAUGCUCAUUUAAUUGUUUUCUCUCAACUAAGCUAGUUUGGUUUUUUGGACGAGCAUAAGGGGAUCAAAGAUGAUCCAAGUAAUAAGCUUCAAUAGAAGAUACAUUUUGUGUGUUUCCUCAACUUUUGGAGCAGCAAGUACAUCAAUUUUUUUGGUGUUUUGUAUUUCCCACCCAUAACUAAAGAUAUAAAACAACUAAUCACAGAAAAUAAAAAUUACUUAGUGAUAGAGCAAACAAGAACACACCAGAAUAUAAACCACUACGCUAUUGCUCCCAGG